GACGAACGCUGGCGGCGUGCCUAAUACAUGCAAGUUGAGCGCUGAAGGUUGGUACUUGUACCCACUGGAUGAGCAGCGAACGGGUGAGUAACGCGUGGGGAAUCUGCCUUUGAGCGGGGGACAACAUUUGGAAACGAAUGCCAAUACCGCAUAAAAACUUUAAACACAAGUUUUAAGUUUGAAAGAUGCAAUUGCAUCACUCAAAGAUGAUCCCGCGUUGUAUUAGCUAGUUGGUGAGGUAAAGGCUCACCAAGGCGAUGAUACAUAGCCGACCUGAGAGGGUGAUCGGCCACAUUGGGACUGAGACACGGCCCAAACUCCUACGGGAGGCAGCAGUAGGGAAUCUUCGGCAAUGGACGAAAGUCUGACCGAGCAACGCCGCGUGAGUGAAGAAGGUUUUCGGAUCGUAAAACUCUGUUGGUAGAGAAGAACGUUGGUGAGAGUGGAAAGCUCAUCAAGUGACGGUAACUACCCAGAAAGGGACGGCUAACUACGUG
This 497-nucleotide ribosomal RNA is filed under the name uncultured bacterium. RNAcentral describes it as "partial 16S ribosomal RNA". It matches the Rfam family "Bacterial small subunit ribosomal RNA", at positions 28 to 507 of the family's 1533-position model. The record is from RNAcentral.